CGGCAGCGGGGGAGCUUGCUCCCGCCGGCGAGUGGCGAACGGGUGAGUAAUACAUCGGAACGUACCCAGUAGCGGGGGAUAGCCCGGCGAAAGCCGGAUUAAUACCGCAUACGCCCUACGGGGGAAAGGGGGGGAUCGCAAGACCUCUCACUAUUGGAGCGGCCGAUGGCUGAUUAGCUAGUUGGUGGGGUAAAGGCCUACCAAGGCGACGAUCAGUAGCUGGUCUGAGAGGACGACCAGCCACACUGGGACUGAGACACGGCCCAGACUCCUACGGGAGGCAGCAGUGGGGAAUUUUGGACAAUGGGCGAAAGCCUGAUCCGGCAAUGCCGCGUGUGCGAAGAAGGCCUUCGGGUUGUAAAGCACUUUUGUCAGGGAAGAAAUCGUUUGGGCUAAUACCCCGAGCAGUUGACGGUACCUGAAGAAUAAGCACCGGCUAACUACGUGCCAGCAGCCGCGGUAAUACGUAGGGUGCAAGCGUUAAUCGGAAUUACUGGGCGUAAAGCGUGCGCAGGUGGUUUGUUAAGACAGUUGUGAAAUCCCCGGGCUUAACCUGGGAACUGCAAUUGUGACUGGCAGACUAGAGUGAGGCAGAGGGGGGCGGAAUUCCUGGUGUAGCAGUGAAAUGCGUAGAUAUCAGGAGGAACACCGAUGGCGAAGGCAGCCCCCUGGGCCAUCACUGACACUCAUGCACG
This 695-nucleotide ribosomal RNA is filed under the name uncultured bacterium. RNAcentral describes it as "bacterial SSU rRNA". It matches the Rfam family "Bacterial small subunit ribosomal RNA", at positions 67 to 755 of the family's 1533-position model. The record is from RNAcentral.